UGGAAUCAGAAGAGCCAGCGUUUGAUCUGGCGGCUGUUAGAGGGUCAGUUCACAUCCCUCUGCCCCUCCAGGUCUUAGUUCCCCCAUUGAUCUAAACUUUCAGGACAUUGGGUUCCAGCUAGAACUCUUUACUCGGGCCCUCCUGACCUGUGAUUAAGUCUGGAGUGGACAGAGCCCACAGGCUGCCUGGGGUCAUCCAUGUAGUGCGUCUGAGAGCCUGCAAACUCCCCAGAAGCCUGGGAAUAUAUAUAGUCACAUGCUGCAUAAUUAAUGUCAGUUGACAACAGACCACAUAUACAACAAUGGACCCAUAGGAUUAUAUUGCCUCAGGUCCUUGUAACCACCUUAGCUUAUGUAAGUAUACUAUGCGACAUUCACACAAGAAUGCAAUCAUCCUGUGAUGCAGUUCUCAGAACAUGCCCCUUGAAUAACAUGCAUUAUUCAAGGCGUGAUUAUAUAAGCAAUCAUAUACUAAUAUUCCUUGACUUAUGUUAGGGUCCAUUCCAACAGCUCCAUUGUAAGUUGACAGUAUUGUAAUUUGAAAAUGCAUUUGAUACAUUGAAUCUAACAAAUAUCAUAGCUUAGCACUAUGGUAUAGUAGAGUACUGGUUGUUUACCCUCCUGCUUGCAUCUCUUGCUGCUAUUGCCCAACAUCACAAGGGAGUAUUGUAUUGCUAGCCCAGAAAAAAAUUUCAAAAUUCCAAAUUCUAGUGUGGUUUCUACUGAAUGCAUACUGCUUAUACACCAUUGUUACUCAGAACAUCAUAAGUCAAACUAUCAUAAAUUGAGGACCAUCUGUUAUCAACAAGGAAUUGUCUCUGUAAUAAAUAAGAGAUCUUAUAACUUGACAACAAAAUCACUAAUUUAAAAACACACAAAGGAUCUGAAUAGACUUUUCUUCAAAAAAUAUAUAUACAAAUGUCCAAUAAGCACAUGAGAAGACGCUCAACAUCACUAGCCCCUGGGAGGUAUAAAAAACAAAAUCACAAUAAUAAUAUUGUGGUUUAAUAAUGCCCCUUCACAUCCACAGGAAAGGCUAGAAUAAAAAAGAUAAUAGUGAGUGUUAGGAGGUGUAUGUAGGGAAUUGGAACCCUCACGCAUUGCUGGUAGAAUUGUAUGAUGUAGUUAUUUUGGAAAACAGUUUGACAAUUCCUAUGAAAGUUAAGAAAGUUAAGAAUAAAGUUACCAUUGGUAUAUAAAACUA
Molecule: long non-coding RNA, 1204 nt
Filed under: Marmota monax (woodchuck)
Lineage: Eukaryota; Metazoa; Chordata; Mammalia; Rodentia; Sciuridae
Source: RNAcentral